Paramuricea clavata is the source of this 212-nucleotide non-coding RNA. NCBI's taxonomy places the organism in Eukaryota, Metazoa, Cnidaria, Anthozoa, Malacalcyonacea, Plexauridae. The record is from the annotation of a GenBank genome assembly.
AAAUAUCAACCAAUUUAAUACCGUCGCUUGGAAGUAAGGAUGAACGAUCGCUCAUAAAACCAUUGCCUAUUCGCGUGACAAGUUCGAUGUUUUUUACCGAGAAAGUUCAAUGUUUGUCAAGAGCGCUUGACAGCUUUUAAUCUGAUCAGCCAAUCACGUUCAACCAGCUGCAAGCUGAUUGACCGAGCGAAUUGAAACUUUCUCAUGAGAAU